This 403-nucleotide unclassified non-coding RNA is filed under the name soil metagenome. Its description in RNAcentral is "partial contains 5.8S ribosomal RNA, internal transcribed spacer 2, and large subunit ribosomal RNA". The stretch from base 1 to 120 matches the Rfam family "5.8S ribosomal RNA", at positions 35 to 154 of the family's 154-position model. The record is from RNAcentral.
GAUGAAGAACGUAGCGAAAUGCGAUAAGUAAUGUGAAUUGCAGAAUUCAGUGAAUCAUCGAAUCUUUGAACGCACCUUGCGCCCUUUGGACUUCUGAAGGGCAUGCCUGUUUGAGUAUCAUGAACACCUCAACUCCUUAUGGUCUUCCAUGAUGAGCUUGGACUUUGGGGGUUUUGCUGGCCUACAGUCAGCUCCUCUAAAAUAAAUCAGCUUACCGGUGUUUGGUGGGUAUCAUGGGUGUGAUAACUAUCUACGCUCGUGGUUUUCCACCAGGUAACCUUCAGCAGUGGAGGUUCACUGGAGCUCAUAGAUGUCUCUCCUCAGCGAGGACAGCCCUUUGAAUGUUUGAUCUCAAAUCAUGUAGGACUACCCGCUGAACUUAAGCAUAUCAAUAAGCGGAGGA